GGCUGACGGCAGCUACACAUGCAGUCGAGCGGAUGAGAGGAGCUUGCUCCUCGAUUCAGCGGCGGACGGGUGAGUAAUGCCUAGGAAUCUGCCUAGUAGUGGGGGACAACGUUUCGAAAGGAACGCUAAUACCGCAUACGUCCUACGGGAGAAAGUGGGGGAUCUUCGGACCUCACGCUAUUAGAUGAGCCUAGGUCGGAUUAGCUAGUUGGUAGGGUAAAGGCCUACCAAGGCGACGAUCCGUAACUGGUCUGAGAGGAUGAUCAGUCACACUGGAACUGAGACACGGUCCAGACUCCUACGGGAGCCACCAGGGGGGAAUAUGGGAAAAGGGGCGAAAGCCUGAUCCAACACAUACCGCCUCUGGAAAAAAACCCCUCGGGUCGGAAAGCACUUUAACUUGGAAGAAAGAGCACAUAGCGAAUACCGGUAAGUUUUGAAGAUAACAACAGAAUAAGCACCGGCUAACUUCGUGCCACCACAAGCCGGAAUACGAAGGGUGCAAGCGAUAAUCGAAAUUACUAGGCGUAAAGCGCGCGUAGGUGACUCAAUAAAGUGAAAGGGAAAUCCCCAGGCUCAACCCGGGAACGCAACCCAAAACCGUCGGGCUAGAGCGCGGUAGAGAGUAGUGCAAUGUCCAGGGUAGAGCUGAAAAGAGAAGAUAUGGAAAGAAACACCAGGGGAAAACCCGACCACCGAGACUCACACCAACACCGAGGUAAGAAAGCGGGGGGAACAAACAGGAGAAAAUACCCUAGUAGUCCACCCCAUAAACAAUGUCAACAAGCCGGUGGGAUCCCCGAGAUCUUAGGGGAGCAAACAACCCAAUAAGUUCACCCCCUGGGGAGUACGCCCACAAGGGUAAAACUCAAAAAAUAUACACGGGGGCCCGCACAACCCGCGGAGCAUAUGGUGUAAUUCGAAACAACGCGAAGAACCUCACCUGCCCCUUGACAUCCAGAAAACUUUCCAGAAAAGCAAUAGUGCCUUCGGGAACCCAAACACAGGUGCGCAAUGGCGGUCGUCAGCUCGGGUCGUAAAAUGUGGGGUUAAGUCCCCAAACGAGCCAAACCCUUGUCCUUAGUUACCAGCACGCAAUGGGGGGCACAAAAAAGAGACUGCCGGUGACAAACCGCAGAAAGGUGGGGAUGACGUCAAGUCAUCAUAGACCUUACGGCAAGGCCAAAACACGUGCUACAAUGGUCGGUAAAAAAAAAAGGCAACCCCGAGAGCAGAGCUAAUUCCUAAAAACAAUCGUAAUCCGGAUCGCAUUGCAACUCGACUGCGUGAAGUCGGAAUCGCCAGAUAUAACCGGAAUCAGAACGUCACGGUGAAUACGUUCCCGGGCCUUGUACACACCGCCCGUCACACCAUGGGAGUGGGUUGCUCCAGAAGUAGGUAGUCUAACCUCCGGAGGGCGCUAACACGCAUGAUAAUGGG
This 1440-nucleotide ribosomal RNA is filed under the name Pseudomonas sp. Its description in RNAcentral is "bacterial SSU rRNA". It matches the Rfam family "Bacterial small subunit ribosomal RNA". Lineage: Bacteria; Pseudomonadati; Pseudomonadota; Gammaproteobacteria; Pseudomonadales; Pseudomonadaceae. The record is from RNAcentral.